This 271-nucleotide unclassified non-coding RNA is filed under the name Glomeraceae sp. Its description in RNAcentral is "partial contains 5.8S ribosomal RNA and internal transcribed spacer 2". The stretch from base 1 to 72 matches the Rfam family "5.8S ribosomal RNA", at positions 84 to 154 of the family's 154-position model. The record is from RNAcentral. Lineage: Eukaryota; Fungi; Glomeromycota; Glomeromycetes; Glomerales; Glomeraceae.
GUGAAUCAUCGAAUUUUUGAACGCAAAUUGCACUCUCCGGUUUUCCGGGAGAGUAUGCCUGUUUGAGGGUCAGCCUAAAAAAAAUCGACAUUGUUGCCGUUAUUUAAUGGUGACUUUCGUCGGAGAUUGGGUUAUCUUAAACCUUUUUUUUUUUUUUUGGCUUAAGCGUCUUAAAAUUUUUCUUCACGAUUCCAUGAACGUUUCUAAGUUUUUUAUUUCUUAUACUUUUAAGGUUUAUCGACUUUUUAUUAUACGGGACCAUCGCAUCGGA